RNAcentral lists this small RNA (127 nucleotides) under Marmota monax (woodchuck). The record is from RNAcentral. Lineage: Eukaryota; Metazoa; Chordata; Mammalia; Rodentia; Sciuridae.
GCCAGGUAUGGUGGCGCAUGCCUGUAAUCCCAGUGACUCAGGAAGCUGAAGCAAGAGGAUCGCAAGUUCACAUUCAGCCUUAGUGACUUAGUGAGGCCCUAAGCAACUUAGUGAGACCCUGUCUCAA